Long non-coding RNA from Anopheles gambiae (African malaria mosquito), 780 nucleotides. RefSeq lists it as uncharacterized. NCBI's taxonomy places the organism in Eukaryota, Metazoa, Arthropoda, Insecta, Diptera, Culicidae. The record is from RefSeq and is a predicted model, not a curated record. The transcript has 2 exons.
UCCACAAACUGCCUUCGCUUACUAUUCCUAUCCCGUUUCUACAUUCCACAACGUUUGUUGCGUUCUCGCUCAUCAGGGUGUUAGUCAAUUCUCUCUUGCCACACGAAGAGAAUUCUCCUGCACACUUCGUGUGUUGGAUUCUACCCAUCCCUGUUGAACACACGUCAUUUUCUUCCAUCACACUCAUCAGGGUGUUUGCUCUUUUCCAUCCAAGCCAAAGAGCGACUUCAGUGUGCUCUGAACCGUGAUAGUGUGAUAGUGUGUGUUUGUGUGCUGCGUGAACUAUUUUUCCUGCGUGAAACACUUUCCAUACUGCACCAUCCGCGGUGUUCUUUCUGCUUCGGAGGACGAAUUUUUAUCAUCUAAUUGUUUGGAUGUGUGCUGCUACCACUAGCUGUUCCUCAAACUACUUAAAAAGUGUGACACUGUGUGUGACACAGGUAAGUUUGUCACAUCUUUAAAUGAAGUGUAAUCUUUUUAACAAAGCGUGUCUAUUAAUUGUGUAUUUUCAUCAACAGCCUUCAUACAACACCGCGGUUGAGGCGCGCCAAAUCUGAUGACAUUUUUCCUGAACCAAGCAGGCUGAACACGCGCACCACCACGGGCUCCAGCGCGGUGUGAAGAGGGAAGAAGAAAAGACAGAAUUGGAAACAGCCGCACCAAGCUUCCAACCACCGUGUGUGUAUGUAAGUAUGUGAGAACACAUGUGUGAAUCCUCUUGUGAGAACUGCAAAAAGAAGAGAAUAAAGAGUGUGAAGCAGCUAGACUGCCGCAACCAAA